Molecule: unclassified non-coding RNA, 268 nt
Filed under: Hevea brasiliensis (rubber tree)
Lineage: Eukaryota; Viridiplantae; Streptophyta; Magnoliopsida; Malpighiales; Euphorbiaceae
Source: RNAcentral
GCCAGAUCAAGCCAAAAAGAAUUCAACCGAAGUGGAGUUCUUUUCUGAUUAUGGCGAUGCGAGUAGAUACAAAAUUCAGGAAGUAAUCGGGAAAGGAAGCUAUGGGGUUGUCUGUUCCGCAAUUGACACCCGCACCGGCGACAAGGUUGCAAUAAAGAAGAUACAUAAUAUUUUUGAGCAUAUAUCUGACGCGGUUAGAAUUCUUCGUGAGAUAAAGCUGCUUAGACUUCUUCGCCAUCCUGAUAUUGUUGAAAUUAAACACAUUAUG